AUGGCAGGACAAGUUGGGUCUGCAGUGGUUAGCGAGAUCACGAGCAGGGCCGUUUCCAAGGUAACGGGAAUGGUCAACAAGCAGUCGGCUGUCGAUGAGCAGCUGCGCAAGCUGGAGAUGAUGUGCAUAAAGAUCGACAGCAUGGUUGAGGCAUCUGAGAGGCAUAGUAUCACUGGUAACUAUCUGCUCAAGUGGCAGGAGAAGCUAAGGGACGCUGGCACAUUGGGUGACGAGGUAAUUUUUGACUUCCGAUGGAGAGCCUUGAACAAAGCCAGCAAGAGCAUCAACUAUAAGAUAGACACACUCAGUGCUCUGGCUUACACAAAGAUUGUUGUGUCAAGUAUUGUAGAUUACUUCCACAAUGCUGCCAAGACGCUACUCUCAAGCAAUGAUGAUGUGCAGAAGUUGAACAGUACAGUGGAGAUGUUGGAGAAACUAUUGGCAGAUAUUGGUCAAGCUCUAGCAGGACAAGUUGGCUCUGUAGUGAUCAACGAGAUCACAAGCAGGGCCAUCUCCAAGGUAAUUGGAAUGAUCAACAAGCAGACGGCUAUCGAUGACAAGCUGCGCAAGCUGGACAUGCUGUGCAUAAAGAUCAAUAGCACAGUUGAAGCAUCUAAGAAGCACGAAAUCACCGGGACCUAUCUACUCAAGUGGCAGGAGAAGCUGAAGGAAGCUGGCAUAGAGGGUGAUGAGGUACUUUUCGACUUCCGAUGGCGAGCCUUGACCGAAGCCAGCAAGUGCAUCAACCAUAAUAUAGGUACACUCGGUCCUCUAGCUUACACAAAGAUUGUUGUGUCAAGUAUUAUAAAGUACUUCCACAGUGCUGCCAAGAUGCUGCUGUCAACCAACAAGGAUGUGCAGAAAUUAAACAGCACAGUGGAAUUGUUGGAGAAGCUAUCGGCAGAUAAUGAGGCGUUCUUAGGAUUGGUUGACCUUCAGGUUUUGACAGUAGAGAAGCAUGCUCCUGCAAAAAGGAAGAAACUGGAGAUGUUGGAGAAGCCAUCGGCAGAUAAUCAGGUGUUCUUGAGAUCGGUUGAGCUUGCAAAAGAGAAGAAACCAGAGAUGUUGGAGAAGCUAUCGGCAGAUAAUCAGUUCACGAGAUCCAUUAAGCUUGAGGUUCUGAAUGGGGAGAAGAAUGCUCCCGCAUCACAAAAGGAAGCACAUCAACAUUCGAGCAGGAAGAGAACACAUGACUGUAUACUUGACUCCAUGAAGGUUAUAGUGAGCGUAAAAGGGCAGCGCCUUACAGGUCCUUAUAAAGGUGAUACAACCUAUGAGCACAAGUUAGCAUUCUUGUUGCUAGGACUUUCUCUCCUUUCCUCCAUUUUCGUGGCCAUGGCAGAACAGACAGUUUACUCUAUGGCCUCUGCUGUAACCGGGGAGCUCACCAACAGAGUGUUCUCGGGGUUGAUACAGAUGUUCGGUAAGGAGGCAGCUGCCGGCAAGAAGCUGCAGCGACUGGAGAUGCUGCUAAUCAAGAUCCACAGUGCAAUUGAGGCAUCCGAGAAACGCACCAUCGAGAAUUUGUGGCUCCUUCAAUGGCGUGACAAGCUAAAGGAAGCCACCUCACAAGGCGAUGAAGUCCUUGCCAGCUUCACACGGAAGGCAGAAGACGCUGAAGCCACAAGGAGCGUUGACAUCAACCAGCAUCAAGGCCCAUCCUCUUCUUCUGGUGCUGCUUCUACUAGAACUACAGGUGCUCUGUCUUUCAAAGGCAAAUCUAUGUCGAGCAUGGCGGGGGGCAUCCGCAACACAGCCCAGAUGUUGUUCUCGAGUGACGAGGACAUGGAAAAGCUGAACAGCACACUGGACAGGUUAGAGCAGCACUCAGUAGACAUCGGAGAGUUCAUAAGAUUGCUUCGGCUAGAGAACUGGGCAAAGGUAGAUCUAACACCUACCGAGAGUAUGGAGGCGCCAAUUACGGAGCAUGGACAAAGGAAAAAGAUGAGGAUCACAGGAGAGUCAGGGUCUACAUUAUUUGGCCUCAAAUUAGAUAAGGAGCAAGACAGAGAAAUUUCAGCUCCGUGUGUGGUGGAGGCAGUAGUGAACAAAUUGAAGCAUCUUUCGAUCAAUGAAACAGUACAUAUCCAGAAGGAACAGCACGGAAUGCUCCUGGACAGGCUUGAGAAAGCGUUCGUCGAUAUCUGCAAGACUGUUGAGUUGGCAGAUAGGCGCGACUUUCGGGAUAUGGAGUGGCUCACAUACUGGGCUGACAUCCUCAGGGAGGCAAAGAUAAAAGGUUGUGUCGUUCUUGGCGCCAUUGGCACUAGCAAAACACUGAGCGCCAAAGACAACGAGUCAAUGGUGGAUUGUGAUCGAGAGAAAGAUGAAUUCAGCAGUUUCGUGCAUAGCAUGGAGGGCUUAGCUACGGACGUGGAAUGCUUCAGAAAACUGGUAUACAUGUGUUCAUGA
This 2412-nucleotide ribosomal RNA is filed under the name Triticum aestivum (bread wheat). RNAcentral describes it as "partial small subunit ribosomal RNA". The record is from RNAcentral. Lineage: Eukaryota; Viridiplantae; Streptophyta; Magnoliopsida; Poales; Poaceae.